Molecule: ribosomal RNA, 1092 nt
Filed under: Kluyvera sp.
Lineage: Bacteria; Pseudomonadati; Pseudomonadota; Gammaproteobacteria; Enterobacterales; Enterobacteriaceae
Description: bacterial SSU rRNA
Rfam family: Bacterial small subunit ribosomal RNA
Source: RNAcentral
ACACAUGCAGUCGAACGGUAGCACAGAGGAGCUUGCUCCUCGGGUGACGAGUGGCGGACGGGUGAGUAAUGUCUGGGAAACUGCCCGAUGGAGGGGGAUAACUACUGGAAACGGUAGCUAAUACCGCAUAACGUCGCAAGACCAAAGUGGGGGACCUUCGGGCCUCACACCAUCGGAUGUGCCCAGAUGGGAUUAGCUAGUAGGUGGGGUAACGGCUCACCUAGGCGACGAUCCCUAGCUGGUCUGAGAGGAUGACCAGCCACACUGGAACUGAGACACGGUCCAGACUCCUACGGGAGGCAGCAGUGGGGAAUAUUGCACAAUGGGCGCAAGCCUGAUGCAGCCAUGCCGCGUGUAUGAAGAAGGCCUUCGGGUUGUAAAGUACUUUCAGCGGGGAGGAAGGCGAUGUGGUUAAUAACCGCGUCGAUUGACGUUACCCGCAGAAGAAGCACCGGCUAACUCCGUGCCAGCAGCCGCGGUAAUACGGAGGGUGCAAGCGUUAAUCGGAAUUACUGGGCGUAAAGCGCACGCAGGCGGUCUGUCAAGUCGGAUGUGAAAUCCCCGGGCUUAACCUGGGAACUGCAUUCGAAACUGGCAGGCUAGAGUCUUGUAGAGGGGGGUAGAAUUCCAGUGUAGCGGUGAAAUGCGUAGAGAUCUGGAGGAAUACCGGUGGCGAAUGCGGCCCCCUGGACAAAGACUGACGCUCAGUGCGAAAGCGUGGGGAGCAAACAGAUUAGAUACCCUGGUAGUCCACGCCGUAAACGAUGUCGACUUGGAGCUGUUCCCUUGAGGAGUGGCUUCCGAGCUAACGCGUUAGUCGACCGCCUGGGGAGUACGCCGCAGUAAACUCAAUGAUGACGGGGCCCGCACAGCGUGAGCAUGUGUUUAUCGAUGCACGCGAGACUAACUACUCUGACAUCAAGACUUGCAGAGAUGCAUGUGCUCGACUCUGAACAGUGCUGCAUGCUGUCGUCAGCUCAUGUGUGAUGUGGUAAGUCGCACGAGCAACUAUCCAUGUGCACGAUCGUCGACCAAGACUGCAGGUUACUGGAGUCGAUGAGCUCAGUCUAUGCUAUGUGCACUGUUCCAAUG